This 477-nucleotide ribosomal RNA is filed under the name uncultured bacterium. RNAcentral describes it as "partial 16S ribosomal RNA". It matches the Rfam family "Bacterial small subunit ribosomal RNA", at positions 28 to 507 of the family's 1533-position model. The record is from RNAcentral.
GAUUAACGCUGGCGGCGUGCAUAACACAUGCAAGUCGAACGAUGAAACUUAAAUGAUUUCUUCGGAAUGAACUUAAGUGGAUUAGUGGCGGACGGGUGAGUAACGCGUGAGUAACCUGCCUUACACAAGGGGAUAGCCGUUGGAAACGACGAAUAAUACCCUAUGAUGUUUCUAUCUCGCAUGAGAUAUUAACCAAAGUGUUAGCGGAGUAAGAUGGACUUGCGUCUGAUUAGCUAGUUGGUGAGAAAAAAGCCCACCAAGGCAACGAUCAGUAGCCGGCUUGGGAGAGUGUACGGCAACAUUGGGACUGGGACACGUCCCAGACUCCUACGGAAGGCAGCAGUGGGGAAUUUUGCACAAUGGGGGAAACCCUGAUGCAGCGACGCCGCGUGAUUUAGAAGGCCUUCGGGUUGUAAAGAUCUUUUGUAUAGGAAGAAAAUGACAGUACUAUACGAAUAAGGUCCGGCUAAUUACGUG